AUGUACUACGAAUCAGAGGGCACGGACGAGUGCGACGGCGACGACGGCGAAGUUGAGGUAGAGCGGCGCCCAGAGCAGGACGUCGUGGACGAUGAACUCGGCCUUGUAGGCGUGCACGCGCCCAGGGCAGCCGCCGACGGCCGCAGCGGCGAAGGCACGGAAGAGCUGGAAGUAGGCGAAGACGCUGACGGAUUGCAUGCUGACAGCCAAGGGCAGGGCGGCGCGCAGCCCCCUGGUCAUCGGAAAGAAGGCGGCUGCCGUGCCCGCCGCCGCCGCCUGGGCGCCGGAGGAGAGGGCUAA
Molecule: ribosomal RNA, 300 nt
Filed under: Triticum aestivum (bread wheat)
Lineage: Eukaryota; Viridiplantae; Streptophyta; Magnoliopsida; Poales; Poaceae
Description: partial small subunit ribosomal RNA
Source: RNAcentral